Molecule: ribosomal RNA, 800 nt
Filed under: uncultured bacterium
Lineage: Bacteria
Description: bacterial SSU rRNA
Rfam family: Bacterial small subunit ribosomal RNA
Source: RNAcentral
AGAGUUUGAUCAUGGCUCAGGAUGAACGCUGGCGGCGUGCUUAACACAUGCAAGUCGAGCGGGUAUUUGGAGAGCUUGCUUUUAAAAUAUCUUAGCGGCGGACGGGUGAGUAACGUGUGGGCAACCUGCCUCAUACAGAGGGAUAAUCAUGUGAAAACGUGACUAAUACCGCAUGUCAUUAUUUAAGGGCAUCCUUAAAUAAGAAAAGGAGAAAUCCGGUAUGAGAUGGGCCCGCAUCUGAUUAGCUAGUUGGUGAGAUAACAGCCCACCAAGGCGACGAUCAGUAGCCGACCUGAGAGGGUGACCGGCCACAUUGGGACUGAGACACGGCCCAAACUCCUACGGGAGGCAGCAGUGGGGAAUAUUGCACAAUGGGGGGAACCCUGAUGCAGCAACGCCGCGUGAAGGAAGACGGUUUUCGGAUUGUAAACUUCUAUCAAUAGGGACGAAAGAGAUGACGGUACCUAAAUAAGAAGCCCCGGCUAACUACGUGCCAGCAGCCGCGGUAAUACGUAGGGGGCAAGCGUUAUCCGGAAUUACUGGGUGUAAAGGGUGAGUAGGCGGCACGGCAAGUAAGAUGUGAAAGCCCGUGGCUUAACCACGGGAUUGCAUUUUAAACUGUUGAGCUAGAGUACAGGAGAGGGAAGCGGAAUUCCUAGUGUAGCGGUGAAAUGCGUAGAUAUUAGGAAGAACACCAGUGGCGAAAGCGGCUUUCUGGACUGGAAACUGACGCUGAGGCACGAAAGCGUGGGGAGCAAACAGGAUUAGAUACCCUGGUAGUCCACGCUGUAAACGAUGAG